Mercurialis annua (annual mercury) is the source of this 597-nucleotide long non-coding RNA. RefSeq lists it as uncharacterized. Lineage: Eukaryota; Viridiplantae; Streptophyta; Magnoliopsida; Malpighiales; Euphorbiaceae. The record is from RefSeq and is a predicted model, not a curated record. The transcript has 4 exons.
UCAAAAACAAAAUUAUAAAAUAGGUGCCAUGCAUGUAAAGGAAGCCAUGCAUGGACUUAACUCACUUUUGUUUUCCACAUAAGCCCAUCUCAUUCUCUUUUGGAUUGAAAAGCCCACCUCUAAUGUGUGCUAUAAUUUGAAGCAGUAACUAAAUCUUGUGUAGCAGUAUAUAUUGUUGCGUUUCCCUUUGAUUUUCACGCGUCUCCUUUUCUUCUUCUUUUUUAAAAAAAAAACUAUUCCAUCUCGUUACUACGAACCCUAGCCGUCAUAUUCUUCUUCAUGAUUCACUGAUUUCAUACGUCCGAAACUCCUCUCCAAUUGCUGAAAUAAUCCCCAUCAAACUGGAUUAUGUCUCGUCUCAGCUGUAGUAGACUCAAUCCUCUACAAUCUUAACAUUUGAAAUCGUAAUUUCGACCCAUCGACUGUUCGUACUUCAGAGGCGAAUCAGAGUUAGGUUGCUUACCAGGUUUCACGUGGAAUAGCAAGUAGUUUGUGAUUUGAGCAUUUGUCGAUCUCCGUUUCUUCAUUCCCGGAGGUUCUUUAUUUAUUUUCAGAUUAAAAGAGUCGAACUGUUUUAAACUCUUAGACCGCAGUAGU